This 345-nucleotide unclassified non-coding RNA is filed under the name soil metagenome. Its description in RNAcentral is "partial contains 5.8S ribosomal RNA, internal transcribed spacer 2, and large subunit ribosomal RNA". The stretch from base 1 to 120 matches the Rfam family "5.8S ribosomal RNA", at positions 35 to 154 of the family's 154-position model. The record is from RNAcentral.
GAUGAAGAACGCAGUGAAAUGCGAUACGUAAUGUGAAUUGCAGAAUUCAGUGAAUCAUCGAGACUUUGAACGCACAUUGCGCCCCCUGGUAUUCCGGGGGGCAUGCCUGUCCGAGCGUCAUUGCUGCCCUCAAGCACGGCUUGUGUGUUGGGCCUCCGUCCUCCUCCCGGGGGACGGGCCCGAAAGGCAGCGGCGGCACCGCGUCCGGUCCUCGAGCGUAUGGGGCUUCGUCACCCGCUCUUGUAGGCCCGGCCGGCGCUUGCCGACACAUCAAUCUUUUUUCCAGGUUGACCUCGGAUCAGGUAGGGAUACCCGCUGAACUUAAGCAUAUCAAUAAGCGGAGGA